GACGAACGCUGGCGGCGUGCUUAACACAUGCAAGUCGAACGGAAAGGCCCUGCUUGCAGGGUGCUCGAGUGGCGAACGGGUGAGUAACACGUGGGUGAUCUGCCCCUUACUUUGGGAUAAGCCUGGGAAACUGGGUCUAAUACCGGAUAGGACCAUUCUUUAGGUGGUGUGGUGGAGAGAUUAGUUUAGGUAUUGGAUGAGCUCGCGGCCUAUCAGCUUGUUGGUGGGGUGUUGGCGUACCAAGGGGUCGACGGGUAGCCGGCCUGAGAGGGUGGGCGGCCGCAUAGGGACUGAGGGACGGCGACGACGCCUACGGGAGGAAGCAGUGGAGAAGAGUGGAAAAUGGGGGAAGGAGGGAUGGAGCGACGCCGCGUGGGGGAGGAAGUCAUGCGGGCUGUAGACUCCUUAAGGCCAUGUAGACGCGCUGAUAGUGACGGUACUGGGAGAAGAAGCACCGGCUAACUACGUG
Molecule: ribosomal RNA, 469 nt
Filed under: uncultured bacterium
Lineage: Bacteria
Description: partial 16S ribosomal RNA
Rfam family: Bacterial small subunit ribosomal RNA
Source: RNAcentral